This 229-nucleotide long non-coding RNA is filed under the name Lathyrus oleraceus (garden pea). Its description in RNAcentral is "Pisum sativum (pea) long non-coding RNA (PSAT_LNC006977)". Lineage: Eukaryota; Viridiplantae; Streptophyta; Magnoliopsida; Fabales; Fabaceae. The record is from RNAcentral.
UGGACUCAAUGAAGCAGGUGAGAUGAAUGGGCCUCACAAUAUUGGACAUUUGACCGGUCAAAAACAUUUGCCCCCAAGACUUGUUGGGCAUUCAGGAUGCUAGGGGAGUCUUUUAGCGGUCAUGGCCGACCUUCAGGAAUGGUUGUCCAUGCGUCGGAUGACAUGCAUUGCUUUGGUUUUACCAAAGCGUAAUGAGGAACAUUAGCAUUAAAUGCAAUUUCAUCAUUGA